Molecule: transfer RNA, 57 nt
Filed under: Pattonomys semivillosus (Speckled spiny tree-rat)
Lineage: Eukaryota; Metazoa; Chordata; Mammalia; Rodentia; Echimyidae
Description: tRNA-Ser
Source: RNAcentral
AGAAAGAAUUUUGGAACUGCUAAUUCCAUAUCCCAUAAAUAACACUAUGGCUUUCUU